UAACACAAAAAAUGGGUGUAUCUCAACAGGAGCACAUUUUAAUCCAAAUGGUUUGACACAUGGAGCUCCUGAGGAUGAAGUUCGCCAUGCGGGUGACCUGGGAAACAUAGUUGCUGACACCAAUGGUGUGGUUGAAGCCACAAUAGUGGACAAUCAGAUUGUUC
Long non-coding RNA from Olea europaea var. sylvestris, 164 nucleotides. RefSeq lists it as uncharacterized. The record is from RefSeq and is a predicted model, not a curated record. Lineage: Eukaryota; Viridiplantae; Streptophyta; Magnoliopsida; Lamiales; Oleaceae. The transcript has 3 exons.